Molecule: non-coding RNA, 73 nt
Organism: Lacerta agilis (Sand lizard)
Lineage: Eukaryota; Metazoa; Chordata; Lepidosauria; Squamata; Lacertidae
Source: the annotation of a RefSeq genome assembly
GCUGGGAUAGCUCAGUUGGUAGGGCAUGAGACUGUUAUUCUCAUGGUUGUGGGUUCAAGUUCCACUUUGGGCA